This 327-nucleotide ribosomal RNA is filed under the name Escherichia coli. RNAcentral describes it as "partial 23S ribosomal RNA". It matches the Rfam family "Bacterial large subunit ribosomal RNA", at positions 612 to 940 of the family's 2925-position model. The record is from RNAcentral. RNAcentral also lists the same sequence under 1 other name. Lineage: Bacteria; Pseudomonadati; Pseudomonadota; Gammaproteobacteria; Enterobacterales; Enterobacteriaceae.
AUAAUGGGUCAGCGACUUAUAUUCUGUAGCAAGGUUAACCGAAUAGGGGAGCCGAAGGGAAACCGAGUCUUAACUGGGCGUUAAGUUGCAGGGUAUAGACCCGAAACCCGGUGAUCUAGCCAUGGGCAGGUUGAAGGUUGGGUAACACUAACUGGAGGACCGAACCGACUAAUGUUGAAAAAUUAGCGGAUGACUUGUGGCUGGGGGUGAAAGGCCAAUCAAACCGGGAGAUAGCUGGUUCUCCCCGAAAGCUAUUUAGGUAGCGCCUCGUGAAUUCAUCUCCGGGGGUAGAGCACUGUUUCGGCAAGGGGGUCAUCCCGACUUACC